AAAACCCCUCCAAAAAUCACUUUUUGCGUCCCUCCAAAUCGGAGGAUUUGCAGGGGAGGGGAAGGAAUAUGAUUUUUAUUAUUUAAAUUUAUUUUAGAUUUACUAAAAUAUCUUCAAUUCUAUUUUAGUAUUUUAAAAUUAUUUAUUUUCUUUUGUAUUACUGUUUUUUCUUUUAUUUGACGUUCCCUGUCGCUUCCGCCACUUUAUUAUAAUUAUUCUUUGUUUUAAAAUUAUUUUAGUCUAUUUUAAAUUAUAAUCACCUUUACUUUUUUAUUUAUUUAUAAUUUAUGAUUUUUAUGUUUAUUUAUGUUUUUUUUAUUUUGUUAUGUAUUUUAUUGUAACUUUUUUAUAUCAAAUUUUAAAUUUUUUGUUUUAUUUUU
RNAcentral lists this long non-coding RNA (380 nucleotides) under Lathyrus oleraceus (garden pea). Its description in RNAcentral is "Pisum sativum (pea) long non-coding RNA (PSAT_LNC019064)". Lineage: Eukaryota; Viridiplantae; Streptophyta; Magnoliopsida; Fabales; Fabaceae. The record is from RNAcentral.